UGCAAAUCGAUGACGAGGUAAAAGUUGCAGGAAUUCCGUAUUCACAGAGAGCCGGUUGUUGCUGAGAGCCGGUAAUACUACCUGCAGCGACAUCCCCUCUGAGUGCCGAUCUGAACGGAAACUAUUAGGAUUGGCCGAGUAUAAUAUACUCGUUAUCAAAAAGAACAAUGUGUCAGUCAUUGUUCAUGAGGUGGCAUUCGUGAGAAUGUCAUGAAUCAGGGUGGUACCGUGGAAAGAAUACAGCCUUUUC
Molecule: non-coding RNA, 250 nt
Filed under: Bacillus smithii
Lineage: Bacteria; Bacillati; Bacillota; Bacilli; Caryophanales; Bacillaceae
Description: T-box sequence
Rfam family: T-box leader
About the family: Uncharged tRNA acts as the effector for transcription antitermination of genes in the T-box leader family. T-boxes are found upstream of many aminoacyl-tRNA synthetase genes and some amino acid biosynthetic genes usually in Gram-positive bacteria. The anticodon of a specific tRNA base pairs to a specifier sequence within the T-box motif, and the NCCA acceptor tail of the tRNA base pairs to a conserved bulge in the T-box antiterminator hairpin.
Source: RNAcentral